RNAcentral lists this ribosomal RNA (484 nucleotides) under uncultured bacterium. RNAcentral's name for it is "bacterial SSU rRNA". It matches the Rfam family "Bacterial small subunit ribosomal RNA", at positions 28 to 511 of the family's 1533-position model. The record is from RNAcentral.
GAUGAACGCUAGCGGCAGGCCUAACACAUGCAAGUCGAGGGGUAGAGGAGGCUUGCUUCCUUGAGACCGGCGCACGGGUGCGUAACGCGUAUGCAAUCUACCUUGUACAGAGGGAUAGCCCAGAGAAAUUUGGAUUAAUACCUCAUAGUAUAAUUGAAUCGCAUGAUUUAAUUAUUAAAGUUCCAACGGUACAAGAUGAGCAUGCGUCCCAUUAGCUAGUUGGUAUGGUAACGGCAUACCAAGGCAAUGAUGGGUAGGGGUCCUGAGAGGGAGAUCCCCCACACUGGUACUGAGACACGGACCAGACUCCUACGGGAGGCAGCAGUGAGGAAUAUUGGACAAUGGGGGCAACCCUGAUCCAGCCAUGCCGCGUGCAGGAAGACGGUCCUAUGGAUUGUAAACUGCUUUUAUACAGGAAGAAACGCAAUUACGUGUAAUUGUUUGACGGUACUGUAAGAAUAAGGAUCGGCUAACUCCGUGCCAG